Molecule: long non-coding RNA, 811 nt
Organism: Pseudophryne corroboree (corroboree frog)
Lineage: Eukaryota; Metazoa; Chordata; Amphibia; Anura; Myobatrachidae
Exons: 4
Source: RefSeq, a predicted model, not a curated record
CUUCACAGGUGCUUAUCUCUCCACUUAUUAUUCCGAUCACAGACCUCUAUGAAUUCACUUGUGUGAAAGGAAAUGUUUGUAAAUCCCCAGCACUACUGCAGCGUAUUCGGAGAGAUCAUCUGCCGUGGCUCUGAUCCGCAUUAGACAAGGCUUAAAACAACAUACUUUCCAUGCCCCGCCUGGCCCACUUUCGCAGAACAAAGGUUGUCCGGAAGACCUCCUUCCCACAGCCUGGCUAGUGGCCACUACGUGAAGUAUAAAGGGUAGAAUUGAGCUGCUGCACAUGCCCAGUGGCACCAUAUAUUCCUACCAAGUCUGCUGUGAGUGUCUGUGGAUCUGAGUGCUCAGUCAUCGCACCAGAGCGAGAAUCUCAAACUCUACAUUAUAAGCCAUGUGGCAAAGUUUGGGCUGCAAGCCUGAAGUUGCGGCAGAGUGACUUCCAGCGGAAGCAGCCUGAGCUAUUGGUGAAGCUCUACAGUGAAAUUCUGCAGUGUACAGUAAGCAUGACAUGAUGGGGAGGGGAUCCUUCAUACCCACGGCAAAAAGCUGGUUGGGACUCAGAGAUUCACAAACUCUUGACUACACCGCUCACGACCCCUGAUGAAGUCCCGUGUGGACGAAAUGCGUUGGGUAUUCGCGCAAUUGUGAAGUUGAACGUACUUCUGAACACAUUGGUAGAAAUAACUAUCACUUAUGUCAAUAGACAAUUAGUUUGUAUUCUCCAUCUAUGGUAUAAAGUCAAUUACAUGUUUUAUUGGAUUUUUAUGUAUUGUUAUAACAUUCAAUGUUAACUUUUAAAAUAAAUGUAUUU